GCUGGGCGCAGUGGCUCAUGCCUGUAAUCCCAGCACCCUGGGAGGCUGAGGCGGGUGGAUCACCUGAGGUCAGGAGUUCUGGACCAGCCUGACCGACAUGGUGAAACCCUGUCUCUA
This 117-nucleotide small RNA is filed under the name Callithrix jacchus (white-tufted-ear marmoset). Its description in RNAcentral is "Metazoan signal recognition particle RNA (ENSCJAG00000076521.1)". It matches the Rfam family "Metazoan signal recognition particle RNA". Rfam says of the family: The signal recognition particle (SRP) is a universally conserved ribonucleoprotein. The record is from Rfam by way of RNAcentral. Lineage: Eukaryota; Metazoa; Chordata; Mammalia; Primates; Cebidae.